UACAGAGGUCCCAAGCGUUUGUUCGGAUUCACUGGGCGUAAAGGGUGCGUAGGCGGUCGGGUAAGUCUGGCGUGAAAUCUCCAAGCCUAACUUGGAACUGCGUUGGAUACUAUCCGGCUCGAGGAAUGGAGGGGAGACUGGAAUACUUGGUGUAGCAGUGAAAUGCGUAGAUAUCAAGUGGAACACCAGUGGCGAAGGCGAGUCUCUGGACAUUUCCUGACGCUGAGGCACGAAAGCCAGGGGAGCAAACGGG
Molecule: ribosomal RNA, 253 nt
Filed under: uncultured bacterium
Lineage: Bacteria
Description: partial 16S ribosomal RNA
Rfam family: Bacterial small subunit ribosomal RNA
Source: RNAcentral